ACCAUGUGAGCAUUGGGGCCUCUUCCCACCACAUGCCCAGUGCCUACAGGGCCGUAGACAAGCCAGCUGUAUCUAAAGCCAUCAGGAGGCAAGCAAGGUUUCACACCUCAGGGUGUGAUCUGUGACAGGAACUUUCGCUGUGAAACAGGCCUGCCAAGGGACCUCACACCUUCUUACUCCUCAGCUGAGAACUGUUAUUCACAUUGCAUGGAUCACCUGUGAAAGGGCACAGUGAAAACCCACCCUAGGCAGCAGAUGGCCCCACAGGACUGGGUUCCUGGAAGCCAUGUUGUUUUUGGAAGAGGAGAAGUGAUAUAGUGCAGGUGAAAUCCUUUCACAACUUUUCUAUCUGUGUCACUGAGAGUUCCAAAGGGUUAUUGGUUUAAACUGAUGUUAGUGAUAAGAAAAUAAUGCUGACCAGUUGACAAUUUCCAGCUGUGAGCUAACAAAUCUUCUUAAAUAUGUGCCCAGAUUGCUUGCUUUCCUCUUAGCUGUGGGCAGUAUUGUUAAGCUAAACUGAGCAGGAGGUCUUUCUGAAGCCCUGAAUUCAUGCUUUGGGAAUAUGAGGGUUAGAAAAGUUGUGGGAGCCCUUUGCUCCCUGGUGAGUAAUGCUUCUCUGAAGGAGCAAGGGAAGCUGGAGGGAAAGCUGAAUUUAUAAAGUGUAAGUGUGCAAAGCUGCUUAAAAAUUUAUGAAUGAAGGGGCAGCUGGAGCAGAGGGCCUUGGAGUAAGAAUAUGACUCUGGCCUGAGCUGGGUCUGGAGCUGUGUGCAGUUCUGCUAAUGCAAUACUCCAGCAAGAUCCUCUCUGACAUGAGAAGCAUCUUCCCUGAGGCAGCCUGAAGUUGGAAGAGGUCUGAAGUUAUUAGCAAUACGGGUGCAGAACGUGGCUGGUGUGACAAGGAGCAGCUGAGGUGCCUGCAGAGCCCAACUCCUACACACACACACUGUCACUGCAGCUUCCUCCGCAUCUGUGCUGCGGAAACACCUCCUUUGCCCAUGAAAAGCCUGGUGGAAGUGGAGCGUACUGAUUUGUGAGUCACUGG
This 1042-nucleotide long non-coding RNA is filed under the name Numida meleagris (helmeted guineafowl). RNAcentral's name for it is "lncRNA (ENSNMEG00000016254.1)". Lineage: Eukaryota; Metazoa; Chordata; Aves; Galliformes; Numididae. The record is from RNAcentral.